UAAGCGGAGGAGAAGAAACUAACCAGGAUUUCCCUAGUAACGGCGAGCGAACCGGAAAGAGCCCAGCUUGAAAAUCGUGGUCCCUCGGACCUCGAAUUGUAGUCUGGAGACGCAUCCUCUGCAACGCACCGGACCCAAGUUCCCUGGAAAGGGACGUCAGAGAGGGUGACAACCCCGUCGAGUCUGGACCGUGUUGCUCCACGAGGUGUGGUCGUCGAGUCGGACUGUUUGGGAAUGCAGUCCUAAGCGGGUGGUAAAUUCCAUCCAAGGCUAAAUAUUGGCAAGAGACCGAUAGCGAACAAGUACCGCGAGGGAAAGAUGAAAAGGACUUUGAAAAGAGAGUUAAAAAGUGCUUGAAAUUGCUGGGAGGGAAGCGAAUGGAAGCUGCGGGUGUGCCCCGGUUGGAUGUGGAACGGCUUGCGCUGGUCCGCCGCUCAACGCGGGGCACUGGUCAGCGUGGGCCAUCGCGGCGGGACAAGAGCAGGGUGUAGUUCCCUGCCUAUGCCGUUGCGGUGGCCGAGGAACGAAGCGCGCGGGGGCUCGCCCCCGUGGGACCCCGGUCCCAACUGCGCGCUCGGGACGCUGGCGUAUUGAGCUCUUCAUCCGACCCGUCUUGAAACACGGACCAAGGAGUCUAACAUGUAUGCGAGCCGGUGGGCGGCAAACCCAUUGAGGCGCAAGGAAACUGACAGGUGGGACCCCUCGUAAAACAAGGGAGCACCAUCGACCGACCGUGAUCUUCUGUGAAAGGUUCGAGUGUGAGCAUACCUGUUGGGACCCGAAAGAUGGUGAACUAUGCCUGAGCAGGGCGAAGCCAGAGGAAACUCUGGUGGAGGCUCGUAGCGAUACUGACGUGCAAAUCGUUCGUCAGACUUGGGUAUAGGGGCGAAAGACUAAUCGAACCAUCUAGUAGCUGGUUCCCUCCGAAGUUUCCCUCAGGAUAGCUGGAGCUCGUGUAAAAGUUUUAUCAGGUAAAGCGAAUGAUUAGAGGCAUCGGGGGUGUAACACCCUCGACCUAUUCUCAAACUUUAAAUAGGUAAGCCGCCGGGGUUGCUUGGUUGAACCCCGGCACAGAAUGAGAGCUCCAAGUGGGCCAU
RNAcentral lists this ribosomal RNA (1097 nucleotides) under Ceratodon purpureus. RNAcentral describes it as "eukaryotic LSU rRNA". It matches the Rfam family "Eukaryotic large subunit ribosomal RNA", at positions 47 to 1134 of the family's 3401-position model. The record is from RNAcentral. Lineage: Eukaryota; Viridiplantae; Streptophyta; Bryopsida; Pseudoditrichales; Ditrichaceae.